Molecule: ribosomal RNA, 466 nt
Filed under: uncultured bacterium
Lineage: Bacteria
Description: bacterial SSU rRNA
Rfam family: Bacterial small subunit ribosomal RNA
Source: RNAcentral
CCUANGGGCGGCAGCAGUCGAGAGGCUUUGGCAAUGGGGGAAACCCUGACCAAGCGACGCCGCGUGGAGGAUGAAGGCCCUUGGGUCGUAAACUCCUUUUGUCGGGGAAGAAACACGAUCAGGUGAAUAAUCUGGUCGCUUGACGGUACCCGGCGAAUAAGCUCCGGCUAACUCCGUGCCAGCAGCCGCGGUAACACGGGGGGAGCAAGCGUUGUUCGGAAUCACUGGGCGUAAAGGGCGUGUAGGCGGUUAAGCAAGUGGAAUGUGAAAUGCCCCGGCUUACCUGGGGACCGGCAUCCCAAACUGCUUGACGUGAGUACGGGAGAGGAUGGAGGAAUUCCUGGUGUAGCGGUGAAAUGCGUAGAUAUCAGGAGGAACACCGGUGGCGAAGGCGUCCAUCUGGCCCGAUACUGACGCUGAGGCGCGAAAGCUAGGGUAGCAAACGGGAUUAGAUACCCCANUANUC